UGGGAAUAUUGCACAAUGGGCGAAAGCCUGAUGCAGCAACGCCGCGUGAGUGAUGAAGGCCUUCGGGUUGUAAAGCUCUGUCUUUUGGGACGAUAAUGACGGUACCAAAGGAGGAAGCCACGGCUAACUACGUGCCAGCAGCCGCGGUAAUACGUAGGUGGCAAGCGUUGUCCGGAUUUACUGGGCGUAAAGGGUGCGUAGGCGGAUUUUUAAGUGAGAUGUGAAAACCCUAAGCUUAACUUGGGGGACUGCAUUUUCAUACUGGAAAUCUAGAGUGCGGGAGAGGAGAAUGGAAUUCCUAGUGUAGCGGUGAAAUGCGUAGAGAUUAGGAAGAACACCAGUGGCGAAGGCGAUUCUCUGGACCGUAACUGACGCUGAGGCAUGAAAGCGUGGGUAGCAAACAGGAUUAGAUACCCUGGUAGUCCACGCCGUAAACGAUGAGUACUAGGUGUAGGAGGUAUCGACCCCUUCUGUGCCGCAGUUAACACAAUAAGUACUCCGCCUGGGAAGUACGAUCGCAAGAUUAAAAAC
RNAcentral lists this ribosomal RNA (531 nucleotides) under uncultured bacterium. Its description in RNAcentral is "partial 16S ribosomal RNA". It matches the Rfam family "Bacterial small subunit ribosomal RNA", at positions 356 to 900 of the family's 1533-position model. The record is from RNAcentral.